This 495-nucleotide ribosomal RNA is filed under the name uncultured bacterium. Its description in RNAcentral is "partial 16S ribosomal RNA". It matches the Rfam family "Bacterial small subunit ribosomal RNA", at positions 28 to 507 of the family's 1533-position model. The record is from RNAcentral.
GACGAACGCUGGCGGCGUGCCUAAUACAUGCAAGUAGAACGCUGAAGGAGGAGCUUGCUUCUCUGGAUGAGUUGCGAACGGGUGAGUAACGCGUAGGUAACCUGCCUGGUAGCGGGGGAUAACUAUUGGAAACGAUAGCUAAUACCGCAUAAUAGUAGAUGUUGCAUGACAUUUGCUUAAAAGGUGCAAUUGCAUCACUACCAGAUGGACCUGCGUUGUAUUAGCUAGUUGGUGGGGUAACGGCUCACCAAGGCGACGAUACAUAGCCGACCUGAGAGGGUGAUCGGCCACACUGGGACUGAGACAAGGCCCAGACUCCUACGGGAGGCAGCAGUAGGGAAUCUUCGGCAAUGGACGGAAGUCUGACCGAGCAACGCCGCGUGAGUGAAGAAGGGUUUCGGAUCGUAAAGCUCUGUUGUAAGAGAAGAACGAGUGUGAGAGUGGAAAGUUCACACUGUGACGGUAUCUUACCAGAAAGGGACGGCUAACUACGUG